This 363-nucleotide long non-coding RNA is filed under the name Setaria viridis. RNAcentral describes it as "long non-coding RNA (SVIR_LNC002559)". The record is from RNAcentral. Lineage: Eukaryota; Viridiplantae; Streptophyta; Magnoliopsida; Poales; Poaceae.
CAUGAGGAAGGUGACCAUACCAAAACUGAGAUGUGGAUCGAUGGAUCAUGCACCAUGAGGUAUACGCGGGAACUAAAGCGCGGUAGGCCCCCCCUACGGCCUUGCUUGAUGCACAUCCAUAAGCAUUUCUUCUGCUUUCCAGGUGUUGCUUCUACGUGCAAUGUUAUCAUUCACUAACUUAUCGAGUACCACGCAGGAAUGCCACUUUUCUACCUGAAUAACGUCAGCAGCUAACCGUGCACAGUUAAUCUUAAUCCUCCCGAUCCUCGUCACUAAACUUUGGGAACCAAUAGGUAGCAGCAACUGAAUAACUAUAUUUGAAUAAUAAGCUAACUUGCACAAUCGGCACAAAAUAUUAUUUAU